UCGCUUCGUGGAGAAACCACGAAUCCAAGCUUCUCCACCAUCGAAACCAUUUGAAAUAAGAAGACAUGGAUUUCCUCUUUUAUUCAAAGACAUAGAACCAAUCGUUGAUAUAAUUAGAAAUAAUGAUGUUGAAGGAUUGAAAAUCUUACUUGAGGAGAAGCCAGGCGACAUUAAUAAACGUUUUGGUAUAUUUGGACAAACUCCUUUAAUAAUUGCCUCUAAAGUGGGCGCCGAUAGAAGAAUCAUCGACAUUUUGAUAGACGCAGGAAGCCAAAUUGGAGCGAAAGACUCAAAUGGUUGUACAGCUUUGCAUUUGGCUGUGAAUUGGUAAGUUGAGAAUCAAGUAAAAUCUGCAGAUGUGUUUUUGUUUGUAAAUUUGUUGCAAUUGCAGACACAGGUUCAAUAUCCAAACAGGCCAGAGUUGUGGGACAACAGCAAAACAGCAGACUAGCAAACAACAACAACAACAAGCUUCUCUUUAGUCAUCGAUCCAAUUCAUUAGUCAUUAUUCAAUCAUAACAAUCCCGAUGAUGAUGAUGAUAACGGCGAUGAUGAUGACGAUGACGGUAUUGAUGAUGUCGAUCAUGAUGAUGGUGUUGUUGAUGAUGUUGAUGAUGAUGAUGGAGGUGGUGAUGGUGAUGAUGAUAAG
Molecule: long non-coding RNA, 649 nt
Organism: Octopus sinensis (East Asian common octopus)
Lineage: Eukaryota; Metazoa; Mollusca; Cephalopoda; Octopoda; Octopodidae
Exons: 3
Source: RefSeq, a predicted model, not a curated record